Molecule: ribosomal RNA, 422 nt
Filed under: uncultured bacterium
Lineage: Bacteria
Description: bacterial SSU rRNA
Rfam family: Bacterial small subunit ribosomal RNA
Source: RNAcentral
UGAGGAAUAUUGGGCAAUGCCCGAAAGGGUGACCCAGCAACGCCGCGUGGAGGAUGAAGGUCGUAAGAUUGUAAACUCCUGUUAGAGGGGAAGAAUAACUAAGUUUGGAGCUUAGUAUGACUGUACCCUUAGAGAAAGCCCCGGCUAACUACGUGCCAGCAGCCGCGGUAAUACGUAGGGGGCAAGCGUUGUCAGGAUUUACUGGGUGUAAAGGGCGCGCAGGCGGAAUGGAAAGUCAGUGGUGAAAUCCUACAGCUUAACUGUAGAACUGCCUUUGAUACUUUCAUUCUUGAGUUCGGGAGAGAGAGACGGAAUUCCAGGUGUAGUGGUGAAAUACGUAGAUAUCUGGAAGAACACCAGUUGCGAAGGCGGUCUCUUGGUCCGGUACUGACGCUGAGGCGCGAAAGCGUGGGGAGCAAACA